Molecule: ribosomal RNA, 599 nt
Filed under: Gillisia hiemivivida
Lineage: Bacteria; Pseudomonadati; Bacteroidota; Flavobacteriia; Flavobacteriales; Flavobacteriaceae
Description: bacterial SSU rRNA
Rfam family: Bacterial small subunit ribosomal RNA
Source: RNAcentral
CGCCGACGACCGGCGCACGGGUGCGUAACGCGUAUACAAUCUACCUUGUAGAGGGGAAUAGCCCAGAGAAAUUUGGAUUAAUGCCCCAUGGUAUUAUUAGAUAGCAUUAUUUGAUAAUUAAACAUUUAUGGCUACAAGAUGAGUAUGCGUUCUAUUAGUUAGUAGGUAAGGUAACGGCUUACCUAGACUUCGAUAGAUAGGGGUCCUGAGAGGGAGAUCCCCCACACUGGUACUGAGACACGGACCAGACUCCUACGGGAGGCAGCAGUGAGGAAUAUUGGACAAUGGGCGAGAGCCUGAUCCAGCCAUGCCGCGUGCAGGAAGACGGCCCUAUGGGUUGUAAACUGCUUUUAUAGAGGAAGAAACACCCCCUCGUGAGGGGGCUUGACGGUACUCUACGAAUAAGGAUCGGCUAACUCCGUGCCAGCAGCCGCGGUAAUACGGAGGAUCCAAGCGUUAUCCGGAAUCAUUGGGUUUAAAGGGUCCGUAGGCGGGACAAUCAGUCAGCGGUGAAAGUCUGUGGCUCAACCAUAGAAUUGCCAUUGAUACUGUUGUUCUUGAAUACUUAUGAAGUGGUUGGAAUAUGUAGUGUAGCGGUG